UACGGGGGGGGCAAGCGUUGUUCGGAAUUACUGGGCGUAAAGGGCGCGUAGGCGGCUCGCUAAGUCGGAUGUGAAAACUCUGGGCUCAACCCAGAGCCUGCAUUCGAAACUGACGAGCUGGAGUUCUGGAGGGGAAAGCGGAAUUCCUGGUGUAGCGGUGAAAUGCGUAGAUAUCUGGAGGAACACCUAUGGCGAAGGCAGCUCGCUGGGACGGUACUGACGCUGAGGCGCGAAAGCGUGGGGAGCGAACAGG
This 253-nucleotide ribosomal RNA is filed under the name uncultured bacterium. RNAcentral's name for it is "partial 16S ribosomal RNA". It matches the Rfam family "Bacterial small subunit ribosomal RNA", at positions 524 to 776 of the family's 1533-position model. The record is from RNAcentral.